Molecule: small nuclear RNA, 107 nt
Organism: Acomys russatus (golden spiny mouse)
Lineage: Eukaryota; Metazoa; Chordata; Mammalia; Rodentia; Muridae
Source: RefSeq, a predicted model, not a curated record
AUGCUCACUUCAGCAGCACAUAUACUAAAAUUGGAACGAUACAGCAUAGAUUAGCAUGGCACAUGCGCAAGGAUGACAUGCAAAUUCAUGAAGCAUUCCUAUUUUUA